Molecule: long non-coding RNA, 2448 nt
Filed under: Citrus x clementina
Lineage: Eukaryota; Viridiplantae; Streptophyta; Magnoliopsida; Sapindales; Rutaceae
Description: Citrus clementina (C. clementina) long non-coding RNA (CCLE_LNC003510)
Source: RNAcentral
AAUACAUAUUUUAUUGGAUAAAAAUUAAAAUAAAAGAAUAACUAAACGUAAAUAGAACAGAAGUUUCUCUAAUGAAAUCGUGAAAUACAAAUUAAUCCCCUCCCACUCAUUCCCUGACCAAUUUUGUUGUCAUCCAAAUAGAACCAUUUAAUUCCCUCCCACUCUCUCCCAGGCCACUUCACUUUAAUUGGUUUUUUAUUAAAAAACUAUCCAUCUUUAUCUUUUGUAAUCCUUUCCAAUUUGUGCGUGUGUGUGUGAAUGAUGAUAACAAAACAAAAACGCAUGGCUAUGGAGGCCACCUCACUUUGCCGCCGCCCAAAAGCACGCCACCCUCACCAGUCCACUCAUGCAUGCCAAAAUCAGCCACUCAGCAAAACUCACUCUCAUCUCUCAUUCUACUUCGAAAUUGUGAGUAUAUAUAAACUCAGCCAAUUUAAUUUUGAUUAGUUUAGUUGUGAUUGGAUUAUGUGAAAUUCAUAUUUUUGUGUUUGGUAAAAUUAGGAUUGAAAUUUUUACAUCUAUUAUUUGAAUAUUCUUAUGCUUAUCAGGUGCUUGAUAAAAUUCCUAAGAGAAUCUAGUUAAAAAAAAAAAAUAAAUAAAAUAUAUGCAAAUAAAUGAAGGAAUUUGAAGCAAAGUUCAGUAGGUUUUGAGAAACUUUUACAAAAUUAGGAUAUUAAGAUGAAUUUAUUUUUCAAUUUGGGCAGUGGGUUUGCGUGUGAUGAUAUCAGAUUUUUUUUCCCCUAAUAUUCUUUCAUAAGAACAUUCGAAAAUGGGAUCUUUCAAUUUUUUGUUCACUUCAACUUGGUAUGUAAUUAAUCAUCUUUCUUUAUUUUUUAAAGAAAAUUAUAGCUAAUAUUAAUAUAAUAAAAAGUGUUAAUAAAUUAUUUGAGUCCAACCGAUAUAAUAAUAAGUUAAGCUACAAAAUUUUGAUUAUAAAACACAUGUGUUUGUUGGAAGGACGAUUUUGAAGCUUGGGUUGCUGAAGUUUGCUUAAAAUAUUGUUGGAUUUGCUAGGAAGUGUAUAUGAAGUGACUAAAUAAAGGUCAAAAAGCAUUUUUUUCCCCAAGUGGUUGUAUGUUUAGUAAAAAAUAAUGUGCUUAUCUUCUUUUGUACUGGGAUAACAAAAAAGUAUGAAGAGUUUCCUCGAUUACUUUGUUUCAGAAAAUGUAUUGGAGUGAGGAAAAAGGUUCAAGUAGUCUUAAUGCAAAAUCGAAAUGUGCAAGCUAUCUUAUUUUUCUUUUUUGACUUAAUCUUUUAUUUCUUUCAACUUUAUAUUUAUUGUACUGUAAACGUUGAUUCAUUGAUUGCUUAAUAAUUUAAUUUAGUUCAAGUUUGACACCAACUGUUUAAUCGAUUAAGUUCAGAGCUUUGGAUGUAAAAUUUGUGUAAGUGAAUUGAGGUUGAUUCUAUGCUUGUAAUCUUUGAUUAGAUUGUUAAUUUGAAGUAAUAAUGAAAGCAAGUAUGUGCUUGUAAUCUCCUGUCUUUCAUUUAUAAUUUUUUUCCAUUUUUUUUGGAUGAAAGAAUUGAUUGCGGAUAUGUUUCAUUGAGAAAUUUAAUUAAUUUUGCUUUCUUACCUAAAUAUUUUUAUUUAUAGCUAUUUGCCUUGCUAUUUACUAUUCUUUCAUGCAUUGGCAAUAAGUUUUUCUUUUAGAAGAUUAUUCUCCUACACCAAUUAAGUGUUUUCUCAAGUUUUUAUUUUUAUUAAUAUUGUUUUUUUAAUCAUGUAAAGUCAAAUGAUAGAUAGAGAAAAAUGAUGUAUCAAUAAUAGAUGAUCAAAUUGUGAAAUACUUUUGGAAAAAUCUUUAAUUUUAUAAAGAUCGAAAAUGACAGGUACCUUCAAAGUCAUCAUCUACUACAACAUUGUCUUAUAGCACAACAAGGAUCAAAAGUUAAAAUCAAGGAAGAAGAUAGCAAAUUUAAGGAAGUUGAAGCAUUCAUGAAACAACAACCUGUUGUUUACUUAAUUAUGCUUUUGUGCAAUGUUACUUUUAUUUUUCUUCUACGAUGUAAUCUUAUUUUUAGACUAUUGAUUUUAUACCUUUUAGAUUUUAGAUUUCUUUGUGAUGAAUUAUAUUUAUGUUAAUAAUAUUUUUCACUUCAAAGUUCUUUUGUCGUUAAAUUUUGAAUUCUAUGACUACAUAUUGUUAUUAAAAUUUAUGUGAGACUAUAAAAAUUGUCCUUAAAAUAAAUUUGAGACUAUAUUAAUUACCAAUUGUAUUUGUAAAAAUUAUCAAAUGAUAACUACUUGAGAUGAUUGUGUAACGUCGCGAUAUGUAAAUUUCAACAACAGAAAAAUAGCGUUGGUAAUUGUAUCAUUGAACCUCUGAAAUAACGAUUUUUAGUAAUUAUCGAGACUAUAUUUACAUACUCUAGAGACAAUGAUAAGUGUAUAUUUUUCAUAUAUUUUGCUAUUAAUUUCUCUAUCUUUUUCUUGUUUUGGUCUUAAAU